Long non-coding RNA from Anneissia japonica, 473 nucleotides. RefSeq lists it as uncharacterized. Lineage: Eukaryota; Metazoa; Echinodermata; Crinoidea; Comatulida; Comatulidae. The transcript has 3 exons. The record is from RefSeq and is a predicted model, not a curated record.
UUUCCCUUGAUUUAUAUUUCCCUUGUUAUGUUUCAAAUGAAUGGCGGUAAACAAUUGGAGGAGCAUCUUGAUGAGAUAGUUUGUUCAUUUUUUACUAUCUUUCACUUGUUGUAAACGGAGACAAAUUACGAAUAGUUUAUAAUAUUGGUUGAAGCAAAUAGCACCAUUUAAGCUGUUGGAUUGCCAUUCAAAAAAGCAAUCUUAAAUUAACUAAAGUUUGCCACAAGCAGAUAGUUUCCUGAAAAAAUGGAGGAAACACCAGUUCCUGUUAAGAAAAGGUUGUCUUUAUCACUUGCAGCUAAAGAUGUAUGCUCCCCUUGCUUUAGCAAAAAUGCUGUAGAAUCGCCAAUGAGUAGCCUUGCACACAGUCUGAUUGGUCUGUCGUGUGCUGGGGGAACACCAAGAAGACGUCUGUCUUUGUGUGAAUCACCAGCAUCAUCUAGAUCAUCUUUAAGCUCUGACGCAGGUAAUUA